This 135-nucleotide microRNA precursor is filed under the name Hordeum vulgare. RNAcentral describes it as "microRNA MIR1122". It matches the Rfam family "MIR1120/MIR1122 microRNA precursor family". Lineage: Eukaryota; Viridiplantae; Streptophyta; Magnoliopsida; Poales; Poaceae. The record is from RNAcentral.
UUACUACUCCCUCCGUCCCAAAAUCUUGUCUUAGAUUUAUUUAAAUAUGAAUGUAUCUAGUCAAGUUAUAGUAUUUAGAUACAUCCAUUUCUAGACAAAGUUAAGACAAGAAUUUUGAGACUGAGGGAGUAUUAU